CUUGAUCAUUAACCCUCCGUCUAUCAGCAGCAGGAGAUUUUUCUCUUUGGGGCUCGACAUGUGCAGAACCCGCAUCCAAUGCUAUAUCUGGCUCCAUCCUCCUUCCAGGACGAGCAGAUCCUCUCCUUAGAGGUAUUCUUUAUAUAUCUCUAAAAGAGUCAAAAAGAAAGGGCGGUCGUUACACACUGAGUCAUAAUAUAUUUUACUGAAUUAUAAAUGACUCAUAAAUUAAUAUACA
Molecule: long non-coding RNA, 238 nt
Filed under: Phoenix dactylifera (date palm)
Lineage: Eukaryota; Viridiplantae; Streptophyta; Magnoliopsida; Arecales; Arecaceae
Description: long non-coding RNA (PDAC_LNC012114)
Source: RNAcentral